AUUGAACGCUGGCGGCAGGCUUAACACAUGCAAGUCGAGCGGGGUGAUGGUGCUUGCACUAUCACUUAGCGGCGGACGGGUGAGUAAUGCUUAGGAAUCUGCCUAUUAGUGGGGGACAACAUCUCGAAAGGGAUGCUAAUACCGCAUACGUCCUACGGGAGAAAGCAGGGGAUCACUUGUGACCUUGCGCUAAUAGAUGAGCCUAAGUCGGAUUAGCUAGUUGGUGGGGUAAAGGCCUACCAAGGCGACGAUCUGUAGCGGGUCUGAGAGGAUGAUAGGCCACACUGGGACUGAGACACGGCCCAGACUCCUACGGGAGGCAGCAGUGGGGAAUAUUGGACAAUGGGGGGAACCCUGAUCCAGCCAUGCCGCGUGUGUGAAGAAGGCCUUAUGGUUGUAAAGCACUUUAAGCGAGGAGGAGGCUCUUUUGGUUAAUACCCAAGAUGAGUGGACGUUACUCGCAGAAUAAGCACCGGCUAACUCUGUGCCAGCCGCCGCGGUAA
This 503-nucleotide ribosomal RNA is filed under the name uncultured bacterium. RNAcentral describes it as "partial 16S ribosomal RNA". It matches the Rfam family "Bacterial small subunit ribosomal RNA", at positions 30 to 523 of the family's 1533-position model. The record is from RNAcentral.